GAUGAACGCUGGCGGCGUGCCUAAUACAUGCAAGUCGAGCGAACAGACGAGGAGCUUGCUCCUCUGACGUUAGCGGCGGACGGGUGAGUAACACGUGGAUAACCUACCUAUAAGACUGGGAUAACUUCGGGAAACCGGAGCUAAUACCGGAUAAUAUAUUGAACCGCAUGGUUCAAUAGUGAAAGACGGUUUUGCUGUCACUUAUAGAUGGAUCCGGCCGCCAUUGGCUGGUGGUAAGGUAACGGCUUACCAAGGCAACGAUGCGUAGCCGACCUGAGAGGGUGAUCGGCCACACUGGAACUGAGACACGGUCCAGACUCCUACGGGAGGCAGCAGUAGGGAAUCUUCCGCAAUGGGCGAAAGCCUGACGGAGCAACGCCGCGUGAGUGAUGAAGGUCUUCGGAUCGUAAAACUCUGUUAUUAGGGAAGAACAAAUGUGUAAGUAACUAUGCACGUCUUGACGGUACCUAAUCAGAAAGCCACGGCUAACUACGUG
This 496-nucleotide ribosomal RNA is filed under the name uncultured bacterium. RNAcentral's name for it is "partial 16S ribosomal RNA". It matches the Rfam family "Bacterial small subunit ribosomal RNA", at positions 28 to 507 of the family's 1533-position model. The record is from RNAcentral.